This 490-nucleotide ribosomal RNA is filed under the name uncultured bacterium. RNAcentral describes it as "partial 16S ribosomal RNA". It matches the Rfam family "Bacterial small subunit ribosomal RNA", at positions 28 to 507 of the family's 1533-position model. The record is from RNAcentral.
GAUGAACGCUAGCUACAGGCUUAACACAUGCAAGUCGCGGGGCAGCAUCGGGUUUGCUUGCACUCCCCGAUGGCGACCGGCGCACGGGUGAGUAACGCUUGUCCAACCUGCCCUUCACCACGGCUUAACCCGGCGAAAGUCGGACUACUACCGUAUGUUGUCCAUUGACUGCAUCCGCGUUGGACGAGCGAGUUGGCGGUGAAGGAUAGGGAUGCGUCCGAUUAGCUGGACGGCUGGGUGACGGCCCACCGUGACGCCGAUAGGUAGGGGUGGUGCGAGGAAGGUCCCCCACACGGGAGCUGGGACACGGUCCAGACGCCUACGGGAGGCAGCAGUGAGGAAUAGUGGUCAAUGGGCGGAAGCCUGAACCAGCCAAGGAGCGUGCAGGACGACGGCCCUAUGGGUUGUAAACUGCUUUUAUGCGGGGAUAAAGUGGUUCACGUGUGGGUUUUUGCAGGUACCGCAUGAAUAAGGACCGGCUAAUUCCGUG